CUCCUACCAGCGGACAGAGAGCGUGCGUCGGAAAAUAUGUCACAUCAACCAACUGAGAAGCAGACAAAAAUAAACAGGGUCAAGACAUCCGCAAGAGACUGCAAGGAGACCAUCUUGCAGGGCCAGACGUUCCUGACUUCCCAUAUCAAGAGGCUCUAGAAAUGUUCUUCCAGAAGCCCAGAAAGAUACACUGCAGUGACAAAAGCUGCACACUUUGUGGAUAAUUGUCAAAAAAAGAAAUGUUCUGAUGUUUAGUUCAGUUGUUAUAUUGACUGCUGUCAUUAAAAGCAACACAUGAACACCAUGAA
Brienomyrus brachyistius is the source of this 308-nucleotide long non-coding RNA. RefSeq lists it as uncharacterized. The record is from RefSeq and is a predicted model, not a curated record. The transcript has 2 exons. Lineage: Eukaryota; Metazoa; Chordata; Actinopteri; Osteoglossiformes; Mormyridae.